UUAUAGGAUGACGCAGGCAGUACGGUAUUCUUCUUUUUAUCUAAUCGUUUAAACACUUCCAUAGACAACACCGUCUCUGCUUUAUUUACCAAGUACCUACAUCGAUUAAAGAUCCAUAUCAGUGUCGGGGCGACGAAAUCGAUUCAUUGUUGGACCAAUCUAACUAUAGAUGUAUAUGGUGAACCACUAUAUAAGUAUAUUUUCUCUCUUGGUUGCCCACAAAAUUUUUUAGCUACUUACUUGGUAUCUUGUUGCGGAGCACUAUUUAACAUAUGGAGAACAAAGGGCCAUCAGGAGAUGCGCCUCCUUCAUAUUCCGCAAUAGUAGCACCAGAUACGCAAUCUUUUUAUCCUCAAAUUUUACCUUACGCAUUUGGGGGUUAUCCAUAUGAAGAUGGUGCGUUGUCCUAUCACUUAGCUGGAGCUCAACAGGUUUCGAAUGCCCAUCAGGUUGUAUAUGUAUCACCACUUGUACAUCAACAGUCAACAAUUCCAGCUUUAAGGGUAACACCACCGCACAAUGGGCCAAUUAUACAGGCCGGACAUAAACGUAGUCGUGGAUCUAUUGCUAUUGCAGUAGCAUUGUCUGUUGGUUUCAUUAUUUUUAUGUUGGUGUUUAUUACGAUUAACGUAUGAUAAAGUUAAAAACGUGAGUGUUUGAUGGUUUAAGUGUAACAAAAAUAGCUUUUAAGUUAUACCAAUGUUGCGUUUUUGCAUAUUAUAUGUAUCUGCUUGUCCAUCUUAAUUUCUCAGGUAUUGCUUGUCAAUCAAGAGCUGAUAAAAGCGACCCAUUAAUCGCUUGA
Long non-coding RNA from Photinus pyralis (common eastern firefly), 802 nucleotides. RefSeq lists it as uncharacterized. The record is from RefSeq and is a predicted model, not a curated record. The transcript has 3 exons. Lineage: Eukaryota; Metazoa; Arthropoda; Insecta; Coleoptera; Lampyridae.